This is a non-coding RNA of Pelobates cultripes (western spadefoot toad), 1070 nucleotides long. The record is from the annotation of a GenBank genome assembly. Lineage: Eukaryota; Metazoa; Chordata; Amphibia; Anura; Pelobatidae.
GCGAGGUCAAAAGACCUGACGGAAGCCACGAAGGACAUCUACAGUUUCUGCCUAAGGAGGAACAUCACGCUGCAAGCAGAAUACCUCCCAGGAAUCUCCAACCUGACGGCGGACUGGUUCUCCCGCCACUGGAGAGACACCAGCGACUGGAAACUCAACAGGGAGAUAUUUCAGACACUACGUCAGUGGAUGGGUCCACUAACAAUAGACUUGUUCGCCUCCAGGACCAACCACCAACUACCAAGAUACUACAGUUGGCUUCCGGACCCGAAUGGCGAAGCAGCGGAUGCAUUCCUUCAGGACUGGUGCAUGGAAAGGGAUUCCGAUCCCUUUACUGCCUCUGUCCCACUGAUCCUCAACUAUCUCGCUCAUCUGUUCUCGACGGGUCGAUCAUAUAGAUCCCUUAACGUGAUCAGAUCGUCUAUUUCAGCGGCGCACGUCCCAGUACAAGGCAAGCCAGUGGGUCAAGAUCCUCUGGUAUGUCGUCUACUGCGGGGUGCCAAACUUACAAGACCCCCAGCACCCAAAUAUUCCAGGUGAAUGGGGUGCUGGACUUCCUUCGGGGCUGGCCGGACAACCCCGUUCUAUCGCUGAAACAGCUUUCAGCGAAACUGGCUCUUUUGUUAUGCCUCGUCUCAUUCCGACGGGUGUCAGACGUUAGGGCAUUUGACGUGGACGGCUUUUCUCUCACUCCAGAGGGAGUCACCUUCUCCAUUUCUAGACUGACUAAAUCAGACUCGUCCUCUGUGUCUUAUCCAUAUUUCGAAUCAGACUACAAGCUAUGCAUUGUCAGGACACUUAUGAGGUAUACGGAAAUCACAGCCAACCUUCGGCAUACUCCGGCGGGUCAGCUGCUGAUUUCUUACGUAAGGCCUCACGCACCGGUGUCUACAACAACCCUGGCCAGAUGGGUUCGCUGGCUACUGAGGUUGGCAGGAAUCAAACCUAGCUUUGGAGCAGAUUCGGUCAGAGGUGCGGCAGCAUCCCAAGCCUUCUUGACAGGCGCAUCCCUAACCGACAUUAUGCGUUGCGCAGACUGGACAUGGGAGAGUACGUUUAGGACUUAUUUC